GAUGAACGCUAGCGAUAGGCUUAACACAUGCAAGUCGAGGGGCAGCAUGGUCUUAGCUUGCUAAGACUGAUGGCGACCGGCGCACGGGUGCGUAACGCGUAUGCAACUAGCCUCACAGAGGGGGAUAACCAGUCAAACGAAGGCCUAUACCGCCGUACACCUGGGAUAGAGAACCCGGACCCUUGGAACCGAACUUCGCUGUGUGAUCGGCAUGCGUCUCAUUAGCUAGUUGGUGAGGGAACGGCCCACCAAGGCGACGCUGGGUAGGGGAACUGAGAGGUUGAACCCCCACACUGGUACUGCGACACGGACCACACUGCUACGGGAGGCAGCAGUGAGGAAUAUUGAUCGAGGAGCGAGGGCCUGAACCAGCCAAGUCGCUUGAAGGAUGACUGUCGUAUUGAUUGUAAACUUCUGUUAUACGAAAAUAACAAGAGCCACCUGUGGCUCCCUGCAGGUACCGUAUGAAUAAGCAGCGGCUAACUCCGUG
This 490-nucleotide ribosomal RNA is filed under the name uncultured bacterium. RNAcentral describes it as "partial 16S ribosomal RNA". It matches the Rfam family "Bacterial small subunit ribosomal RNA", at positions 28 to 507 of the family's 1533-position model. The record is from RNAcentral.